UGUGCCUCUGUUAUUUGUUUAAACUGUACAACCUAAAAUCCCUAGCUACUACAAGUUAAGAAAAUGUGUUUCUUAACUCAACUGAAGUGGACCUCACAUUAAAGCAUUUAUUACUAGGCUAGUAAUACCAUAUGCAAGCAAUGCAGAAAUCAACUUUUAAUUUCAUGAAAAAUAUUGCAGCAUGUAUGUCAGUAAAUUAUUAUUCUAAAAUGGCACCCAUGUCAUUAAAACAUUGUCUGUGGUCAAAAUAAUAUUUUGUUUGAGACUACUUAAAAAGUGUCUCAAAUUUAAACGAACAUUCUCUGUUGUUUUUAGACAAAUGAAACAGGUGCAAAAACAAACAACCACAAAAAAAGAAUCAUUAUGUCAUCUUAGCAAAGACUACAUUUUCUUUAUUUAGAACAAACCCAGUUUUCUGCAACGAAUGAUUCUCCAAAUUUCUUCUCAAAUCUCUAGAUUGUAAAUUCUUUCAAGCAGGGUCGUCAUCUACCUAUUGUUCCAGGAACAUUUUGAAAUUGUCUCAUUGAUUGUGAAAUUCCCCCCUUAAUAAUAUUGUAAAAUGCUGCAGAAUAAGUUGGCG
This is a non-coding RNA of Pelobates cultripes (western spadefoot toad), 580 nucleotides long. Lineage: Eukaryota; Metazoa; Chordata; Amphibia; Anura; Pelobatidae. The record is from the annotation of a GenBank genome assembly.